Molecule: long non-coding RNA, 156 nt
Organism: Notothenia coriiceps (black rockcod)
Lineage: Eukaryota; Metazoa; Chordata; Actinopteri; Perciformes; Nototheniidae
Exons: 3
Source: RefSeq, a predicted model, not a curated record
GACAGGGGCCCUUUCUCAUUUCAUCAAAUUCCCCUCCUCGACUCCUCGACCCCUCGGUCCUCCGGUAGUGACCCGUAAAUUAAUUUCAGCGCGCUAUGUUGAAGGACAUCUAAUUUCUCUAAAUGCACUUCGAGGACCGAGCAUCGAGCGUCGAGG